Molecule: long non-coding RNA, 582 nt
Filed under: Chrysemys picta bellii (western painted turtle)
Lineage: Eukaryota; Metazoa; Chordata; Testudines; Emydidae
Description: lncRNA (ENSCPBG00000013854.1)
Source: RNAcentral
UAGAGGUGUGUUUCUACAUGCCGAUGAGCACCGAAUGAAGAAGGAUUGCCUCCUUAUCAUUGAAUGUAUCACAGAUAAGUAGAUACAGCACUUGAAGAAAUGUAAACUAUUGCCUGUGCGGCUUUCAUAAACAAAAGCUCUGCCUACAGCUUCAAGGAUAUAAAGUGAAAAGUCCCCUGAGGCAGUCUCUCUGUCUAUGUAAUAAUUAAGAAAAGAAGCUGUAGAAAGUUAUACACAACCUUUAUUAACCUAUUUUUGUUUGGAUUUUGGUGACCAUUUGGCCUUCCUUCUGCCAUCAGUCUGUAUUUCACAGCAGAAGAAUGAAAGCAUGACAAAGACUGAAGAGCUGUGGGCAAGGGGGAGACAUAGGCGGAGUUCUGAUUGCUCAAAGGCAGACUCACAUCCAUCCUGCCACUCUGCAGAUGUCCCUCAGUUGAUGAUGCAGGGAGUUUGAAGUCUGGGAUUACUCGAACAAUCAUACUUCACCAAAAAUAGCUCCCGUGAGUGCCAGGGAUAAUGGAGUUAACACAGCACAUGGUUUAAUGACUAAUGUAUGCAGUGUGGAAUACUUUGCAUGUUCCC